GACGAACGCUGGCGGCGUGCUUAACACAUGCAAGUCGAACGGAAAGGCCCUGCUUUUGUGGGGUGCUCGAGUGGCGAACGGGUGAGUAACACGUGAGUAACCUGCCCUUGACUUUGGGAUAACUUCAGGAAACUGGGGCUAAUACCGGAUAGGAGCUCCUGCUGCAUGGUGGGGGUUGGAAAGUUUCGGCGGUUGGGGAUGGACUCGCGGCUUAUCAGCUUGUUGGUGGGGUAGUGGCUUACCAAGGCUUUGACGGGUAGCCGGCCUGAGAGGGUGACCGGCCACAUUGGGACUGAGAUACGGCCCAGACUCCUACGGGAGGCAGCAGUGGGGAAUAUUGCACAAUGGGCGGAAGCCUGAUGCAGCAACGCCGCGUGCGGGAUGACGGCCUUCGGGUUGUAAACCGCUUUCGCCUGUGACGAAGCGUGAGUGACGGUAAUGGGUAAAGAAGCACCGGCUAACUACGUGCCAGCAGCCGCGGUGAUACGUAGGGUGCGAGCGUUGUCCGGAUUUAUUGGGCGUAAAGGGCUCGUAGGUGGUUGAUCGCGUCGGAAGUGUAAUCUUGGGGCUUAACCCUGAGCGUGCUUUCGAUACGGGUUGACUUGAGGAAGGUAGGGGAGAAUGGAAUUCCUGGUGGAGCGGUGGAAUGCGCAGAUAUCAGGAGGAACACCAGUGGCGAAGGCGGUUCUCUGGGCCUUUCCUGACGCUGAGGAGCGAAGGCGUGGGGAGCGAACAGGCUUAGAUACCCUGGUAGUCCACGCUGUAAACGGUGGGUACUAGGUGUGGGGUCCAUUCCACGGGUUCCGUGCCGUAGCUAACGCUUUAAGUACCCCGCCUGGGGAGUACGGCCGCAAGGCUAAAACUCAAAGGAAUUGACGGGGCCCCGCACAAGCGGCGGAGCAUGCGGAUUAAUUCGAUGCAACGCGUAGAACCUUACCUGGGUUUGACAUGGAUCGGGAGUGCUCAGAGAUGGGUGUGCCUCUUUUGGGGUCGGUUCACAGGUGGUGCAUGCCUGUCGUCAGCUCGUGUCGUGAGAUGUUGGGUUAAGUCCCGCAACGAGCGCAACCCUUGUUCACUGUUGCCAGCACGUUAUGGUGGGGACUCAGUGGAGACCGCCGGGGUCAACUCGGAGGAAGGUGGGGAUGACGUCAAGUCAUCAUGCCCCUUAUGUCCAGGGCUUCACGCAUGCUACAAUGGCUGGUACAGAGAGUGGCGAGCCUGUGAGGGUGAGCGAAUCUCGGAAAGCCGGUCUCAGUUCGGAUUGGGGUCUGCAACUCGACCUCAUGAAGUCGGAGUCGCUAGUAAUCGCAGAUCAGCAACGCUGCGGUGAAUACGUUCCCGGAGCU
RNAcentral lists this ribosomal RNA (1346 nucleotides) under uncultured bacterium. RNAcentral describes it as "partial 16S ribosomal RNA". It matches the Rfam family "Bacterial small subunit ribosomal RNA", at positions 28 to 1381 of the family's 1533-position model. The record is from RNAcentral.